GAUUGAAGAUUUGUCGCACUCCACGGACUCCAGGUCCAUGCCAGUCUGAUUGUCUGAUUCUGGUCUGCUUUUUCUUUUGAGUACCACUGUAGUAGACUUCAACGGAAUAUUUAUGCAGCUAGAGAGAACCAUAACGAGUUCAGGUCGAGCAUCCAACAUGACACUCUCAUCUCGCCUGGUUGCCGGCGUUCUCCUGGUCCUGGCAUUAGCUCUGGUCUCUUCCAGUUCCAGCGCAGAGGAGAGGAGCACCGGGCGCGCUGCCAGUGCCUCGGACCAUGAUCAGACGUCGGAAGCUACGGUGCCCCUGUUGAGGCCUCUUGGCUUGAGGACACCGGUGGCAGCUCCGCCCCCGCCGAGGUCGGCAACUCCACGGGCGAGUAUAAGGCCGUAUCAUCGGCCGUCACCGCCGCCGCCAUGGUCGUAGCUGUAGGCUGUACCCUCUAGGGCCUCUAGGUCUAGAGAUACGUGAGAGAAAAUGGUUUCUUGGCGUUGGUGUCCCAUUUCCUGUAAGCCUGGUGUAGUGUUCUUCAGUUUUCAACCAACUGUGUAACUGUGUAAGCUCUAUCUGUCAUGGAUUCAGUCAGGUAUUUGGGCGCUUUCAGCACCAAACACCACCGUUUGCUGAUUAAUAUUUUCCUUCUUGUCUGCUCAACAUUUCUGUGCCAUUCUUUUCGUUGGAUGUCCUGGAAUUUCUUGUAUGUUUCCAAGA
Molecule: long non-coding RNA, 709 nt
Filed under: Sorghum bicolor (sorghum)
Lineage: Eukaryota; Viridiplantae; Streptophyta; Magnoliopsida; Poales; Poaceae
Description: long non-coding RNA (SBIC_LNC000385)
Source: RNAcentral